UUAGUGUGCCAGGACACCUCCAAGUGUAAGUGGGGCUCUCCAGCACACCUGGAUGUGGAGGUGUGAUGCAGAGUGGUGGCUGCUCGUGACACUCAUUUCACCCCUUUCUGUGCAGGUGCCAGAAGCCCAGGAAGCACACAUCAAGGCUCGCUUGCCAGCGGGGUGCUGCCAAUAAAAUGUAGUCACGUGGAAUUUGGGAUGUGGAAAGGAGGUAGAAGUCAUCCUUUCCUCCCCCAUAGCAGCAGGUGUGCAGGCUCUGGUGGUCAGCUGGACUCCAUACUCCCCCACCAGUCACCAGCCUGGGGACCGUGGGGCUGCAAGGACCUCAGCAGCAGUUUCCCAAGUUUCCUGACUUCUUCCAUCCUCUGGAAAUCAGCUGUGAGCUAUCAGCUUCCCAGUUUGCACAAUUCAUCAAGAAAUUAUGCGGGGUCACUGGCACAAAUGAUGAGGCAUCUCCUGGAAGCUUAACUUCUUAUCCAUCCCAUCUCUUGGACAGAUGAUGCCAGUUAAUUACUUUGAAUGCUCCUCCACCAAGCCAAGGCCAGACUCCUGCAAUCAUAGGAUGGCAACACCACCUCUAAAGCACAGAACUUCAGCCUUUGCUUCGGAAGUGGCACCAUGGUCUCUUCAUUUUCCCUUUCUUCAAGGUCAGAAAACUGAAGCUGUUAGGAGUUUUAGUGUUAAGUUCCUUCCGAGGAUGUUAAUUAGGCUUCAAACUGUUUUGUUCUGAGAAAUAAAAACUAAACUCCAGUCAUUCAAGCUAA
This 764-nucleotide long non-coding RNA is filed under the name Homo sapiens (human). RNAcentral describes it as "HSALNT0391121". The record is from RNAcentral. Lineage: Eukaryota; Metazoa; Chordata; Mammalia; Primates; Hominidae.